This 857-nucleotide ribosomal RNA is filed under the name Amanita sp. 2 ZLY-2014. Its description in RNAcentral is "eukaryotic LSU rRNA". It matches the Rfam family "Eukaryotic large subunit ribosomal RNA", at positions 82 to 918 of the family's 3401-position model. The record is from RNAcentral. Lineage: Eukaryota; Fungi; Basidiomycota; Agaricomycetes; Agaricales; Amanitaceae.
AGUAACUGCGAGUGAAGCGGGAAAAGCUCAAAUUUAAAAUCUGGCAGAUGCUUGUCUGUCCGAGUUGUAACCUAGAGAAGUGUAACCUGUGCUGGACCGUGUACAAGUCUCCUGGAAUGGAGCAUCAUAGAGGGUGAGAAUCCUGUCUUUGACACGGACUACCCAGUGCAUUGUGGUUGCGCACUCAACGAGUCGAGUUGUUUGGGAAUGCAGCUCUAAAUGGGUGGUAAAUUCCAUCUAAAGCUAAAUAUUGGCGAGAGACCGAUAGCGAACAAGUACCGUGAGGGAAAGAUGAAAAGAACUUUGGAAAGAGAGUUAAACAGUAUGUGAAAUUGUUGAAAGGGAAACGCUUGAAGUCAGCUGCAUUGGCUGGGGAUCAAGCCAGCUUAUUUGCUGGGUGUACUUCCUGGUUGAUGGGCCAACAUCAGUUUUGACCAUCAGAGAAAGGCAGAGGGAAUGUGGCACCUUUAUAGGUGUGUUAUAGCCCUUGGUUGUAUGUGGUGGUUGGGACUGAGGAUAGCAGCGUGCCACAAGGCCGGGUUUCGACUACGUUCACGCUUUGGAUGUUGGCAUAAUGGCUUUAAGCGACCCGUCUUGAAACACGGACCAAGGAGUCUAACAUGCAUGCAAGUGUUUGGGUGGAAAACUCAAGCGCAUAAUGAAAGUGAAAGUUGAGAUCCCUCUCACAGGGGAGCAUCGACGCCCGGACCAGAACUUUUGGGACGGAUCUGCGGUAGAGCAAGCAUGUUGGGACCCGAAAGAUGGUGAACUAUGCCUGAAUAGGGUGAAGCCAGAGGAAACUCUGGUGGAGGCUCGUAGCGAUUCUGACGUGCAAAUCGAUCGUCGAAUUUGGGUAU